Molecule: ribosomal RNA, 1150 nt
Filed under: uncultured organism
Description: bacterial SSU rRNA
Rfam family: Bacterial small subunit ribosomal RNA
Source: RNAcentral
GGCGUGAGAGCGCGGCCCCCCACACUGGCACUGAGAUACGGGCCAGACUUCUACGGAAGGCAGCAGUCGGCGAUAUUGCACAAUCGGCGAAAGCCGGAUGCAGCGACGCCGCGUGGGCGAUGAAGCGCUUCGGGUUGUAAAGCCCUUUUAUGGGGGAAGAGACAAGGACGGUACCCCAAGCAAUAAGCGUCGGCUACCUACGUGCCAGCCAGCCGCGGUAAAACCGUACGACGCAAGCGUUAUCCGGAUUUACUGGGCGUCAAGAGCGUUGAGGCGGUUCCGUAAGCUGGGCGUGCAAGCCCCCGGGCUUAAGCCGGGGAGGUCGUUCAAUACUGCGGGACUUGAGGGCAGCAGAGGGACGCGGAAUUCCCGCUGUAGCGGUGAAAUGCGUAGAUAUCGGGCAGGAACACCAGUGGGCGAACGCGGCCUCCUGGGCCUUGUUUCUGACGCUGGAAGGCGAAAGCUAGGGGAGCGGACGGGAUUAGAGACCCCGGUAGGUCGUGAGCCGUCAACCGAUGGAUGCUGGAUAUGGGGGGUAUAGAUCCCGCUGCCGUGCCGAAGCUAACGCGUUAAGCAUCCCGCCUGGGGAUUACGGCCGCAAGGCUUAAACUCAGACGAAUUGACGGGGGCCCGCACAAGCAGCGGAGCGUGUGGUUUAAUUCGAUGCUACACGAAGAACCUUACCUGGGCUUGACAUGUAGGUAGUAGUGAAGCGAAAGCGGAACGACCCUUCGGGGAGCCUACACAGGUGCUGCAUGGCUGUCGUCAGUUCGUGCCGUGAGGUGUCGGGUUAAGUCCCGUAACGAACGCAACCCUUGCCCUUAGUUACACGUGUCUAAGGGGACUGCCCGGGACAACUGGGAGGAAGGUGGGGAUGACGUCAAGUCAGCAUGGCCUUUAUGUCCAGGGCUACACACACGCUACAAUGGCCGGUACAAUGGGUCGCCAAGCCGUGAGUCGGAGCCAAUCCCCCAAAGCCGGUCUAAGUUCGGAUUGUGGGCUGCAAAUCGCCCAUAUGAAGCUGGAGUUGCUAGUAUCCUCGCGCCACCAAUAGUGCGCUGAUACGUUCCCGGGCCUUGACACACCGCCCGUCACGUCAUGGAAGCUGGCAACACAUGAAGCCAGUGAGCUAACCCGCAAGGGGGGCAGC